GGACGUCAGGACGAACGCUGGCGGCGUGCUUCAUACAUGCAAGUCGAACGAGAAGCAGUCUUCGGACGAGUGGAAAGUGGCGGACGGGUGAGGUAAAAUGUAGAGAAUCUGCCCUAGAGCGGGGGAUAGCAGUUGGAAACGACUAUUAAUACCCCAUAUGAGCGUACUUGAGAUAGUAUUCUUGAAAACUCCGGUGCUCUAGGAUGAGUCUGCAUCUGAUUAGCUAGUAGGCGGUGUAAUGGACCACCCAGGCGACGAUCAGUAGCUGGUUUGAGAGGAUGAUCAGCCACAAUGGGACUGAGACACGGCCCAUACUCCUACGGGAGGCAGCAGUAGGGAAUUUUGCGCAAUGGGGGAAACCCUUGACGCAGCAACGCCGCGUGAAUGAAGAAGCCCUUCGGGGUGUAAAGUUCUGUCAGUGGGGACGAAACUUGACGGUACCCACAGAGGAAGCAUCGGCUAACUCCGUGCCAGCCGCGGC
Molecule: ribosomal RNA, 481 nt
Filed under: uncultured bacterium
Lineage: Bacteria
Description: bacterial SSU rRNA
Rfam family: Bacterial small subunit ribosomal RNA
Source: RNAcentral